Molecule: long non-coding RNA, 2074 nt
Organism: Lathyrus oleraceus (garden pea)
Lineage: Eukaryota; Viridiplantae; Streptophyta; Magnoliopsida; Fabales; Fabaceae
Exons: 6
Source: RefSeq, a predicted model, not a curated record
GCCAAAGCGGCGUUAAAUUAUCUCAUUUCAUAUAUUUUUAUGUCUUGGAGUACUAAGUGCUGGUAAAAAAAGGGAUUCGGUUAAGCUGCGUUUUUUACUAGAUCUCCGUCAUCUAUUCAAUUGCUUUUUUGACUGAGUUCUCGAUGUGGUUAUACACACCACUGUGAUUUGUUUUUGAAUUUUUUUUAAAGAGAUGGAGCAAGGCGUUUGGAGUUUUGUGAAGUAUGCGGAAGUUUUAAGAGUUGUCGAAGGCCUAUACUUGUGCAUCAAAUUGGAGAUAAGGCUAAAAUUCAAGAUCAAGAAGUAGGCAUCCCAGCUAUCUGAGAUUUGUGCAGAACAAAUGAAGAGAUGAUAAGAGUAAGAUAGUUCACAUGGCAACAAGUAGCAUUCCAGAUGGCACAUCAACACCUAAUUUGCAUGCAACAUAAAUGGUGGAAUAAAUCUUGGACAUCGAGGAGGCAAAACAUCAACUCAUGUUUUCACUACCAAUGAUUCUUACAAAAUUAUUAUACUACUCAAUCACUAUGGUUUCUUUAAUGAUUGUUGGUCACUUCGGUGAGGUUGAGUUAGCUGGUGCUACUCUUGUCUACUCAUGGUUUGGUGUCACUGCUGGCGCUGUUACGUUUUAAGAGUUGUCGAAGGCCUAGUGCAUCAAAUUGGAGAUAAGGCUAAAAUUCAAGAUCAAGAAGUCGCCAUCCCAGCUGUCUGAGACUAGUGCAUCAAAUUGGAGGGGAGCCUAAUUGAGCAGAAGAGAUUGCAAUUGGUUGUGUUGUUGUAUUUUCAUAUGGUGAUCUCUACUCUACUAUUAAUUCUUCGUGUUUCCUUGUAUAUAUUACACUCUUUUUUUCUUGAUUUCUUUGCGAGUUCCCUGAACGUGUCACACGGAAUAUGUACAAUGAAAACUUCUUAGAUAUUUAUGGAGGACAUUUUGCUUGAUGUUUCAUAGAAGAGAGACUAUAAAACUAUAAUCUGCAACAGAUGCAAGAACUUGGCAAAAAGGGGAGUCUAAUUGAGUCCAAAAGACUGCAGUUGGUUGUUGUACUUUAAUCUGAUGAUCUCUUCUAAGAUGAUUCAUGGGAGAGAGGCUAUGAAUGUAUAGUGGAAUUGGAACCUUUGCAUUUAAAUGGUCAUUUUUUCCUUGAAUAAGGAUUACAAGUACUAGGAGAGCUUCAGUUUUAAUGCUUAUGUAGUACAUCUGCACCUCUUUCUUGGCUAAAUUGAGACGUGUCUGCUUUUCUCAAAGUGUAGACUUCAAGAACUUCACACAAUCACACCACUCUUUAAUCUUCUCUUAAGGAUCCGUGAGAGUUUUACAUAAUCAAUUUGGUUACGCAGAAGACCCUCAUUCGUGACGCAGAUUCAGUCGUAGCCGCGCGAUGAAGCAUUUGUUGAAGUUUGUGCGUUGCGGUAGUUGAUAUGAACCGAAAGACUGAACCCACAAAGACGUAAAGGAAGUGUACUUUGUUAUCUAUAUUCAUUUUGUAUUUACGUGAUGCAGGUUCGUGUAUUCCAACGCCGUUGUGAUUUAUUUUCGUCGAUGGUAUCUAUUUGCAUUAUGGAUUAUGUUCCGCCUUCCAACUGGUUGAUGCUACCUUGUAUGCGAUUCUCUGGGUUUCUGUUUUUCUGCAUUGCUUGCUCAUUACGGAUUUGCUAUCCGUUUGGUAUAUUUCUUAACCCUUUUACUUUUCCGCACUAUCCAAUGCCAUGAGAAGUAGGGUAGACAUAUAUCAUUGAUGCCAUGAGAAGUAGCACCUAGACAUUCAUUGCAUAAGUCUGACUCUGUAGGCGAUGUUUGCUGAGAGUCCGUGCCAUGUGGGCAGGCAAUCUGAUUUAUUUGUUAUUUGUUGUGCUAAAGACCUCCAAAGAGGUGUCCCAUUCCCAAUACCCCUGAUAAGUCCUCAAGAGAAGGCAAGCGGAGAGGGUCCGCAAUCGACCCCCGCAUUUUUGUCCGUGUAAUUCAUUGGCUCGCGUUACGCGUUGACGCCUUUGAACCGAUUACUCCAUACGGUUGCUACAUUUCAUCUCCGUUAUCCUAUACGGACAUUGCAUUUUGUGUGCACCGCUAUCCCAUGCG